Molecule: long non-coding RNA, 349 nt
Organism: Beta vulgaris subsp. vulgaris (sugar beet)
Lineage: Eukaryota; Viridiplantae; Streptophyta; Magnoliopsida; Caryophyllales; Amaranthaceae
Exons: 2
Source: RefSeq, a predicted model, not a curated record
AGUUUUAUAUUUCUUAUUCAAGUUUCAAUUUUCUUUUGUUUAAGAAAAAUAUUUUCAUAUUUCUUACUCAAAAAUAUUAUGCUCAUGAUAGAUCAUUCAUGUUUAAAUUCAUGAUUAAGUUCAUGUGGUAGAUUGCUUGUUGGUCGGCUAUGAGAAAGCUCAAGUAUAAGAAUAAGUGAAGAUACUAGUAUUAGUUUGUGCAAGAUCAAGAUUUGCAGGUGAAUUUUGGAUGUGCAUGGGAGCAUACUAGGAAGGGGAUCUUCACCUAGAUUAGAGUGUUUCAUUUAUUUUGAGUAUUGAGACAAUAUUUACUUUUAUUAAUAAAGAAGUAUUAUUAUUUUUGGUUAAA